GGGGCUGAUCGGUUUCGACAGCAGUUCCGGUGGCCGAGCGUGCGACCCGAGUUGCUCAGACUCGCUAAACGGGGCAAACACAAAGAAUUGCCAACCAGCAGUUCGCUCUCGCCGCCUGAUCACUCAGGUUGUGAAGAGACAUCGUGACCAGAAAUGGCGCACGGGGCCGAUCCACCGCAGCCCGGCAACAGAAGCGGGGGAUGGCCGCCGGGAAGACGGCUGACGGCGAGAAAGACCGCUGACCGCACGGAAAGACGUGUCGUGGUCCGCCAGCGAUGACGGACGGCCGACCCGUCGGUGAGAUUGCGUCAGUCUCGAAAUCGGGAAUGGUCGUAGCACGAACGCUCAUCGCCUGAUGGACGGGGGUUCGAUUCCCCCCAGCUCCACCA
Molecule: transfer-messenger RNA, 389 nt
Filed under: Ilumatobacteraceae
Lineage: Bacteria; Bacillati; Actinomycetota; Acidimicrobiia; Acidimicrobiales
Also listed under: 1 other name
Description: Casp-actino8 sp016871395 Standard tmRNA
Rfam family: transfer-messenger RNA
About the family: Bacterial tmRNA, also known as 10Sa RNA or SsrA, is named for its dual tRNA and mRNA-like properties. Its role is to liberate the mRNA from a stalled ribosome. To accomplish this part of the tmRNA is used as a reading frame that ends in a translation stop signal.
Source: RNAcentral